Molecule: ribosomal RNA, 468 nt
Filed under: uncultured bacterium
Lineage: Bacteria
Description: partial 16S ribosomal RNA
Rfam family: Bacterial small subunit ribosomal RNA
Source: RNAcentral
GACGAACGCUGGCGGCGUGCUUAACACAUGCAAGUCGAACGGAAAGGCCCUGCUUUUGUGGGGUGCUCGAGUGGCGAACGGGUGAGUAACACGUGAGUAACCUGCCCUUGACUUUGGGAUAACUUCAGGAAACUGGGGCUAAUACCGGAUAGGAGCUCCUGCUGCAUGGUGGGGGUUGGAAAGUUUCGGCGGUUGGGGCUGGUCUCGCGGCUUAUCAGCUUGUUGGUGGGGUAGUGGCUUACCAAGGCUUUGACGGGUAGCCGGCAUGAGAGGGUGACCGGCCACAGUGGGACUGAGGUACGGCCCAGACUCCAACGGUAGGCAGCAGUGGGGAAUCUUGCACAAUGGGCGGAAGCCUGAUGCAGCAACGCCGCGUGCGGGAUGACGGCCUUCGGGUUGUAAACCGCUUUCGCCUGUGACGAAGCGUGAGUGACGGUAAUGGGUAAAGAAGCACCGGCUAACUACGUG